Chlorocebus sabaeus (green monkey) is the source of this 119-nucleotide ribosomal RNA. The record is from Ensembl. NCBI's taxonomy places the organism in Eukaryota, Metazoa, Chordata, Mammalia, Primates, Cercopithecidae.
GUCUAGGCCGCACCAUCCAGCAGACGCCUGGUCUCCUCUGAUCUCGUGAAGCUUAGCAGGGUCGGGCCUGGUUAGUACUUGGAUGGGAUUCCGCCUGGAAAUAGCAGGUACCAUAGGCU